Long non-coding RNA from Physeter macrocephalus (sperm whale), 278 nucleotides. RefSeq lists it as uncharacterized. NCBI's taxonomy places the organism in Eukaryota, Metazoa, Chordata, Mammalia, Artiodactyla, Physeteridae. The record is from RefSeq and is a predicted model, not a curated record. The transcript has 3 exons.
UGUGAGACAAAUUGCAGAGGAUGAGAUUGAAGCCCAGGAAGGUGAAGUCACUUGUGCAAGCUCCCACAGUGCAUGCAAAGCAGAAUGAGAAAUGGAAACAAGAUCUGUGAAGCUGAGGUCCCACAAGGCACUGCGUUCUUUCACCCAACAAAUAUUUAUGGAGCAUCCACCCAUUUCCAGGCACCAUCUUGGAAGAGAUUCAGCCACAACCAAGGUUAUUUAAUUACAUCUUCAAAACAACCUCAUGGCAGGUAUUAUAAGCCCAUUUUACACACACG